AAUGUGUGCUCCUGGCAUGCGUAAGCAGCAACAGGCAGGGUAACUGGACUGGACUAUUGAUACAGGCAUGUUCUCCAUGGUCUUCAUUUCACUUGAUCUUCAGCAUACGUCCUUUAGGAGCCACAUGCCAGAUCAUAGCGGCCUCUACUUGGAAAUGCUCAAGCAUUAAUGAUGUAGAUCGGCUGUGCUAUUUCCCCCUCAGCCCAGUGACUCUUCUCUGGCUUUCCUGAACAGGUCCUUGAAGAGAUAUUAUUUAUGAAGUGGAGAAAUAAAGGACUUCAAUUCAAAUGAUGUAAUAGCAAAUCUGAUUAAUGGAAUCCAUGUGAAAUUCUUGACAUUCAUUUGGCCUAAUUGAAUGCCUAAUCAUGACUCCCAGAUGUUAGACAUUUUUUUAAUGGAGAACAUCUUUUUUCUGACCCUAAAACAUGUGUUCUGGCACCAAGAGAAGCACUCUAGGAUCUGAGUUCUUUUUGUGAGCUGCUGCCUAAAUUCUGAGUCCUAGAGAACACUAUUAAUGAUGGUGCACAGAAGACAGAGAGGUAUAAACUGCAUCAGUUUCUUUACAUGCGGGAGGACCUACAUGAUCUGAGAAGAGACCUGACCUUUGAAAACCUCAUUUCAAUCUCAACAUGUGACCUCAGAGAAACUCAUUUGCUCUUUGGAAAGUUUUUAAGAUUUACAACCAAGG
Molecule: non-coding RNA, 688 nt
Organism: Ceratotherium simum simum (southern white rhinoceros)
Lineage: Eukaryota; Metazoa; Chordata; Mammalia; Perissodactyla; Rhinocerotidae
Source: RefSeq, a predicted model, not a curated record